Molecule: ribosomal RNA, 513 nt
Filed under: uncultured bacterium
Lineage: Bacteria
Description: partial 16S ribosomal RNA
Rfam family: Bacterial small subunit ribosomal RNA
Source: RNAcentral
GACGAACGCUGGCGGCAUGCCUAAUACAUGCAAGUCGAGCGAACAGAUGAAGUGCUUGCACUUCUGACGUUAGCGGCGAACGGGUGAGUAACACGUAAGGAAUCUACCUAUAAGCGGGGGAUAACAUUCGGAAACGGGUGCUAAUACCGCAUAAUAUUUUCUUCCGCAUGGAAGAAAAUUGAAAGACGGCUCUGCUGUCACUUAUAGAUGACCUUGCGGUGCAUUAGUUAGCUGGUGGGGUAACGGCCUACCAAGACGAUGAUGCAUAGCCGACCUGAAAGGGUGAUCGUCCAGCUUGGGACAGAGACACGGCACAAACUCCUACGGGAGGAAGCAGUAGGGAAUCUUGCGCAAUGGGCGAAAGCCUGACGGAGCAAUGCCGCGUGAGUGAAGAAGGCCUUCGGGUCGUAAAACUCUGUUAUAAGAGAAGAACAAAUUGUAGAGUAACUGCUACAGUCUUGACGGUAUCUUAUCAGAAAGCCACGGCUAACUACGUGCCAGCAGCCGCAGUAA